CCCAACUGAUUGAACGUGCUUGCACGGACUUGACGUUGGUUUACCAGCGAGUGGCGGACGGGUGAGUAACACGUAGGUAACCUGCCCCAAAGCGGGGGAUAACAUUUGGAAACAGAUGCUAAUACCGCAUAACAAUUUGAAUCGCAUGAUUCAAAUUUAAAAGAUGGCUUCGGCUAUCACUUUGGGAUGGACCUGCGGCGCAUUAGCUUGUUGGUAGGGUAACGGCCUACCAAGGCUGUGAUGCGUAGCCGAGUUGAGAGACUGAUCGGCCACAAUGGAACUGAGACACGGUCCAUACUCCUACGGGAGGCAGCAGUAGGGAAUCUUCCACAAUGGGCGCAAGCCUGAUGGAGCAACACCGCGUGAGUAAAGAAGGGUUUCGGCUCGUAAAGCUCUGUUGUUAGAGAAGAACGUGCGUGAGAGCAACUGUUCACGCAGUGACGGUAUCUAACCAGAAAGUCACGGCUAACUACGUGCCAGCAGCCGCGGUAAUACGUAGGUGGCAAGCGUUAUCCGGAUUUAUUGGGCGUAAAGCGAGCGCAGGCGGUUUGAUAAGUCUGAUGUGAAAGCCUUUGGCUUAACCAAAGAAGUGCAUCGGAGACUGUCAGACUUGAGUGCAGAAGAGGACAGUGGAACUCCAUGGGUAAACGCGGG
RNAcentral lists this ribosomal RNA (654 nucleotides) under Limosilactobacillus mucosae. RNAcentral's name for it is "bacterial SSU rRNA". It matches the Rfam family "Bacterial small subunit ribosomal RNA", at positions 62 to 685 of the family's 1533-position model. The record is from RNAcentral. Lineage: Bacteria; Bacillati; Bacillota; Bacilli; Lactobacillales; Lactobacillaceae.